RNAcentral lists this ribosomal RNA (468 nucleotides) under uncultured bacterium. Its description in RNAcentral is "partial 16S ribosomal RNA". It matches the Rfam family "Bacterial small subunit ribosomal RNA", at positions 28 to 507 of the family's 1533-position model. The record is from RNAcentral.
GACGAACGCUGGCGGCGUGCUUAACACAUGCAAGUCGAACGGAAAGGCCCUGCUUUUGUGGGGUGCUCGAGUGGCGAACGGGUGAGUAACACGUGAGUAACCUGCCCUUGACUUUGGGAUAACUUCAGGAAACUGGGGCUAAUACCGGAUAGGAGCUCCUGCUGCAUGGUGGGGGUUGGAAAGUUUCGGCGGUUGGGGAUGGACUCGCGGCUGAUCAGCUUGUUGGUGGGGUAGUGGCUUACCAAGGCUUUGACGGGUAGCCGGCCUGAGCGGGUGACCGGCCACAUUGGGACUGAGAUACGGCCCGGCCUCCUACGGGAGGCAGCGGUGGGGAAUAUUGCACUAGGGGAGGAAGCCUGGCGCAACAACGCCGCGUGCGGGAUGACGGCAUUCGGGUUGUAACCCGCUUUCGCCUGUGACGAAGCGUGAGUGACGGUAAUGGGUAAAGAAGCACCGGCUAACUACGUG